GACGAACGCUGGCGGCGCGCUUAACACAUGCAAGUCGAACGGAAAGGCCUGCUUUCCCUUGUGGAUUGCGGGUACUCGAGUGGCGAACAGGUGAGUAACACGUGAGUGAUCUGCCCCCAACUUGGGUAUAAGCCUGGGAAACUGGGUCUAAUUCCCGAUAGGACUGCAGGGUGGUGCCUGUGGUGGAAAACGAUUUUCUAGUGGUUGGGGAUGAGCUCGCGGCCUAUCAGCUUGUUGGUGGGGUAAUGGCCUACCAAGGCGGCGACGGGUAGCCGGCCUGAGAGGGUGGACGGCCACAGUGGGACUGAGAUACGGCCCAGACUCCUACGGGAGGCAGCAGUGGGGAAUAGUGCACAAGGGGCGGAAGCCUGAUGCAGCGACGCCGCGUGGGGGAUGACGGCCUUCGGGUUGUAAACUCCUUUCGACCGCGAGGAAGCCACCUGGUUGGAAGGGUGGUGACGGUAGUGGUAGAAGAAGCACCGGCUAACUACGUG
RNAcentral lists this ribosomal RNA (494 nucleotides) under uncultured bacterium. Its description in RNAcentral is "partial 16S ribosomal RNA". It matches the Rfam family "Bacterial small subunit ribosomal RNA", at positions 28 to 507 of the family's 1533-position model. The record is from RNAcentral.